Molecule: ribosomal RNA, 403 nt
Filed under: bacterium
Lineage: Bacteria
Description: partial 16S ribosomal RNA
Rfam family: Bacterial small subunit ribosomal RNA
Source: RNAcentral
UGGGGAAUAUUGCACAAUGGAGGGAACUCUGAUGCAGCGACGCCGCGUGAACGAAGAAGUCUUUCGAGUCGUAAAGUUCUUUUAUAUGGGAAGAUAAUUACGGUACCAUAAGAAGAAGCCCCGGCUAACUACGUGCCAGCAGCCGCGGUAAUACGUAGGGGGCUAGCGUUGUCCGGAAUCACUGGGCGUAAAGGGUUCGCAGGCGGAAAUGCAAUUCAGGUGUAAAAGGCAGUAGCUAAACUACUGUAAGCAUUUGAAACUGCAUAUAUUGAGAAGAGUAGAGGUAAGUGGAAUUUUUAGUGUAGCGGUGAAAUGCGUAGAUAUUAAAAAGAAUACCGGUGGCGAAGGCGACUUACUGGGCUCAUUCUGACGCUGAGGAACGAAAGCGUGGGUAGCAAACAGG